GUCGAGCGGCAGCGACAAUAAAGAUUCUUCGGAUGAUUUAUUGGGCGGCGAGCGGCGGACGGGUGAGUAAUGGCUGGGAACCUGCCUGGUAGAGGGGGAUAACCACUGGAAACGGUGGCUAAUACCGCAUGAUGUCUUUGGACCAAAGAGGGGGACCUUAUGGCCUCUCGCUACCGGAUGGGCCCAGUUGGGAUUAGCUAGUUGGUGGGGUAAAGGCUCACCAAGGCGACGAUCCCUAGCUGGUUUGAGAGGAUGAUCAGCCACACUGGAACUGAGACACGGUCCAGACUCCUACGGGAGGCAGCAGUGGGGAAUAUUGCACAAUGGGCGCAAGCCUGAUGCAGCCAUGCCGCGUGUGUGAAGAAGGCCUUCGGGUUGUAAAGCACUUUCAGCCGUGAGGAAGGCAUUGUACUUAAUACGUGCAGUGUUUGACGUUAGCGGCAGAAGAAGCACCGGCUAACUCCGUGCCAGCAGCCGCGGUAAUACGGAGGGUGCGAGCGUUAAUCGGAAUUACUGGGCGUAAAGCGCAUGCAGGCGGUCUGUUAAGCAAGAUGUGAAAGCCCCGGGCUUAACCUGGGAAAGUCAUUUUGAACUGGCAGGCUAGAGUCUUGUAGAGGGGGGUAGAAUUUCAGGUGUAGCGGUGAAAUGCGUAGAGAUCUGAAGGAAUACCGGUGGCGAAGGCGGCCCCCUGGACAAAGACUGACGCUCAGAUGCGAAAGCGUGGGGAGCAAACAGGAUUAGAUACCCUGGUAGUCCACGCCGUAAACGAUGUCUACUUGGAGGCUGUAGUCUAGAACUGUGGCUUUCGGAGCUAACGCGUUAAGUAGACCGCCUGGGGAGUACGGUCGCAAGAUUAAAACUCAAAUGAAUUGACGGGGGCCCGCACAAGCGGUGGAGCAUGUGGUUUAAUUCGAUGCAACGCGAAGAACCUUACCUACUCUUGACAUCCACAGAAGCUUGAAGAGAUUCUGGUGUGCCUUCGGGAACUGUGAGACAGGUGCUGCAUGGCUGUCGUCAGCUCGUGUUGUGAAAUGUUGGGUUAAGUCCCGCAACGAGCGCAACCCUUAUCCUUGUUUGCCAGCGAGUAA
Molecule: ribosomal RNA, 1088 nt
Filed under: Vibrionaceae bacterium PaD3.33d
Lineage: Bacteria; Pseudomonadati; Pseudomonadota; Gammaproteobacteria; Vibrionales; Vibrionaceae
Description: bacterial SSU rRNA
Rfam family: Bacterial small subunit ribosomal RNA
Source: RNAcentral